UUAGUGAAUGUCUUGAAACUAGUCUUCGUUUGGUAAGCUACGCACGAACAACACGUAUUCUUGGGCUUCAAAUUGAAACGCACGCGUUCGCGUUUUAUUGUAUGUACAGCACAAUAACAACAACAAUUUAACUAUUUCUUAAACUCUACUGCAUUACUGUGUUUAAACGAGGUUUAAAAUAAAACUGCAACAACAACAAAAACUAUAACAAAACUCUCUUUAAAAACUUGGAUUAUUGAUUGGUUAAAGAAGAAAAAAAAACAACAAAAUAAAAGUUGCAUUUUACGCGAGUCCGGUUUUGCCAGCAGUUGCUGUUUGUUGUCUUAACGUUGUUUGUUAGCAGAGGAUCGUUUAAUAUAAAUAAAAAGAAAUACUCAUUCCUUAAUUUGGGAUUAAUUUGCAUAUUUUUCAUUUAAUCAACGUUUAAUUGAAAAAGGUAAGUCA
Lucilia sericata (common green bottle fly) is the source of this 444-nucleotide long non-coding RNA. RefSeq lists it as uncharacterized. The transcript is spliced from 3 exons. Lineage: Eukaryota; Metazoa; Arthropoda; Insecta; Diptera; Calliphoridae. The record is from RefSeq and is a predicted model, not a curated record.